RNAcentral lists this long non-coding RNA (455 nucleotides) under Mytilus galloprovincialis (Mediterranean mussel). The record is from RNAcentral. Lineage: Eukaryota; Metazoa; Mollusca; Bivalvia; Mytilida; Mytilidae.
CUUUCAUAUUUAAUUCGUACACAUUGUAAAAUAUUGUAUUUUUAUUUCUUUCAGUUUACCAAUCUACUGACUAUUAUGUAACCCUUUCUGGUGGAAUUUAUAAUUACAAUUUCAAACAAGUUGUGUUCGUUAUAUCUUCAUCGAGAUUGCGAUUGCAGUCACCUGGUUAAGCUAGUUGAGUCCGGCUCAGCAUAGUAAAUUGACAACAACUUGUCUACACAUCUCCUGAUCAGGAAAUACAACGGAGCAUCGUUCGUAGCUGUUACAUCGACACUACGCAACACAGCUUGUGCGUCCUAGGCAGCAAACCAACAACGUUGAACAAACAUUGCCGAUUUACAUCAUGGAUCCCAGUCACGCGGAACAGCAAGAAGAGGUUCAGCCCCCAGAGGGAGAUGUCACUGAAGAACCUAUAGAGAAUCCGUCUAUAACCACACAUGUAGAUGAAAAUCCCG